ACGAACGCUGGCGGCGUGCUUAACACAUGCAAGUCGAACGGAAAGGCCCCUUUGGGGGUCCUCGCGUGGCGAACGGGUGAGUAACACGUGAGUAACCUGCCCUUGACUUCGGGAUAACUUCAGGAAACUGGGGCUAAUACCGGAUAGGAAUCCUUGCUGCAUGGUGGGGGUUGGAAAGCUUCGGCGGUUUUGGAUGGACUCACGGCUUAUCAGCUUGUUGGUGGGGUAGUGGCUUACCAAGGCUUUGACGGGUAGCCGGCCUGAGAGGGCGACCGGCCACAUUGGGACUGAGAUACGGCCCAGACUCCUACGGGAGGCAGCAGUGGGGAAUAUUGCACAAUGGGCGGAAGCCUGAUGCAGCAACGCCGCGUGCGGGAUGACGGCCUUCGGGUUGUAAACCGCGUUCAGCAGGGGCGAAGCUUGUGGUGACGGUACCUGCAGAAGAAGCACCGGCUAACUACGUG
Molecule: ribosomal RNA, 464 nt
Filed under: uncultured bacterium
Lineage: Bacteria
Description: partial 16S ribosomal RNA
Rfam family: Bacterial small subunit ribosomal RNA
Source: RNAcentral